Non-coding RNA from Pelobates cultripes (western spadefoot toad), 205 nucleotides. Lineage: Eukaryota; Metazoa; Chordata; Amphibia; Anura; Pelobatidae. The record is from the annotation of a GenBank genome assembly.
CCCAGAACUCCAUUUACAGAAAUACAUUGACCCCUCAAAACGAGCAUCUGACAUAAAAACCAUGAGAAUCACAGCCGAUAUCACAUCAGGCAGUAUGGAGAUCUUCAUUUACAUCUACCUAACAGAGCAGUGCUUAAAGUACAGCAAACCCUGAUCAGCAAUGAUCCUCAUCCACAGCGCCGGCAAAAUCCAUGAAGGCUUCACC